Molecule: long non-coding RNA, 1489 nt
Organism: Maylandia zebra (zebra mbuna)
Lineage: Eukaryota; Metazoa; Chordata; Actinopteri; Cichliformes; Cichlidae
Source: RefSeq, a predicted model, not a curated record
AAAGGGACUAGACAUGCUAGAUAUUUUGCAAAGAAAUGGUGUUAUAUGCUGGACCUUAUUUUACUCUUGGCAGGUGGUGAUAUGCUGGUUCCCGAGAAGAGAUGAACUAAUCAAAGUCAGCUUUUCAAGACAGCCCCAAGACUCUUCGCAACUUGUGUUCAAAUGUGAGGCCGUUGUCAGGUGAUAAAUGCAAGGAAGAGGCACUCAACUGACAUGAAACAUGUCAAAGACAACAUGAAGGUGACAUUUCAACAUAGGCAAAAAGUGGUUCAAGAACCUGCCAUAGCUUCUACUGUCCUGGACCUUUUCCCAAGAUUUCUGGAUACACCUGGCUUGAUUGACCAAGACUUCACAAUGCUGUUUUUUGGGGAGGAAGUGUCUGGUAAGUUCCUUGCAAAGUGGCCAACAUUCUUCAAGCCAAGGAUCAUCAAAGAUUGCAAAAAUCUGUCCCAGAGUACAGAAUUGGAUGAGCUGCUCAUUUCUGCACAGCGUUACUCUAACGAGGCUGUUUGGGACUGCGAGGCGGCUGCCCUCUUUUGCUGCUUCACUUCACUCCAUCAUCUAAGGGAAGGACGUCUUCAAAGAUUAGCACAUCAGAUGCUGCUCACCACCUAAUGAAAUUCAUCAAGGUGGGAGGUAGCACAGAGGCUUUUCUUAAGGCUGGCCCCACUCAGCCAUUCGUCCUGUGGGUUGGAGAAAGAAAGAACAUCAUCCAAAGUUUCUACCCAAAGUUUCUACAUUGUCCUAGAUCAAAAGGUCAUUCCCUGUGUGACACAGAUGGGAGAUGCAGGUUUUGACAAGGCAAAACUUUUCAAGGCACAUUUUUUAAUUUGCCGUGUCCUUUGAUAAGGCAUUGGACAACUUCUACACAUUCAUCCAGACCAUCAAGUGUAUGGCAUUGAUGUUGGCAGCGUGAAGGACAGUCCUCGGGUCAAUGAAACAAGAGGAAGUCUUCACUGUACGGUUUAAAGAUAUCCACUAUUCAGCACUUUGACUGGAAAUGUUCAUCUGUUACAUUUGCAAGAUACACCACACAAGUUGCUCAGUGUUAUUUAGACAUUUGAAGUUCCAGCAUGGUUUGUACCCAGGAAAGUUUUUACGUUUGACCUGUGGAGAGCCUGGAUGUUCAUUUAUCUUUCACACGUACUCUGGUUACAAGCGGCACUUAUUCCGAGCACAUGGAGACUGCGUUCACUCUGAGGUCAUCAACAAUUUUGAGCCUGUACCUAACGAUGGAACCUCUGUUUCACAGCCUGUAAAUGUGGCUCAUCCCAUGACAAUAACUACACCGGUUCCAGUUGAAAAAAGGCAAAUACUGAACAUGUGCAGCUCUGUUAUUGCUCAAGUACAAUCAUCAGGAGUUCCUGAAAGUACUGUACAGUGUUUAGUUGGUUCAUUGGAGGAACUGGUUAAUGACAUCCAUGCACAUGCAAAACAAUCUGUUGUCGACUGUUUGUCAACUGAUACAUCAAGAGAAACCUUAGAAAAA